CUGCCAUGAACUGCGGGCCUGCCAUGCCACUCUGCCUUGGAGCCAACUGAAUAUGGACUAAAACCUCCAAAAAACUGUAAGAAAUAAACUUUUCUUUUCCCAACUUUGGUCAUCAGAUAUUUUGUCUCAGCAAUGAGCAAAAAGUAACUAAGACAGGGCCCAAUCCAUUAAUAGGACAUAGAAGUGCUACUAAUAUUAUAGCUUCUUUUAAGGAAAACAAUGCUGAAUUUUCUUUAUUUUUUAUUUUAUUUUGUCUUUUUCCUUUUUAUCAGUACCGGCUAUCAAACUCACAACUGCCUGUUUGCAAGGCAGGCGCUCAUGCCGCUGAGCUAAAUCCCCAGCCCUGAAUUUCCUUUAUUUUGAAGCUUAGGCAAGAGGAUAUCAGUUUGGGGUCUUGAAGAGCUGAUUGAGUCUACACCCAAGCUCUCUCCUUGUCAGGCCACCUCAGACCUGCUCUGUGUCCCUUGCACCAGGCACCACACAGCUCGGACAGACCUGAGCUCAGAACCCAGGACCUGGUUCUGAGGAUCCAUCCAUGGUGGGAGACAGAGCAGAGCCCCCUCCCCCAGCUCAGGCUGCCCCUGAGCUCACCCGCUGUCCCUGCCCUAGAGGCUCUCUGUGGACCCUGCUGCAGCUGCCCCUCUGUAAGCAGGAGAAUGACCAUGACAGAUUGACCUGGACACCAGCUGUAAGAGAGCGAGGACAGGGUUCGACCUCCCCCUGAACCUUCUGGGAUGCAGCCCUGGGCCCUGUACUUCAAGUCCCUCCUUCUCUGGCUGCUGCCCUGGCCAGGCAGAGGGCAGUUCCAAGUGAAAACACCAAAGUCAUCGGUCAUUGUCCAGUUGGGGAAAGCAGCUGUGCUUCCCUGUCACCUCAGCCCAUCUACAGAUGCUCAGAACAUGGAGAUCAGGUGGUACCGGGACGACCAAUCAGUACUGCUUCACGAGUACAGGAAUUCUCAGGACCACAUGGAUCAGCAGAGUCUUGAGUACCAAGGGAGGACAGAGCUCCUGAGGGAAAACAUCAACCAAGGCCAGGUGGCCCUGAGGAUCCAUCCCAUCCUUGCUAGAGAUGAAGGACAGUACAGCUGUGUCUUUGUAAGUUCCACACAAGUUGGCCAAGCACAGUUUGAGCUGCUUGUUGCAGCCUCAGGUGCACCUCCUCAUAUCCACAUUCAGCCUGCAGACACUGAGGGCAUCACGCUGACCUGCUCAUCCUCAGGGUGGUACCCAGACCCUGAGCUCCAGUGGAGGGACCCACAGGGACAGCCUUUGUCACCUGACUCUGAGACUAGGUCUGAACAAGAAGAUGGCCUGAUCUAUGUGGAAAGCUCAGUCACAAUGACAAGCAGCUCAAGAGCACCUUUGUGCUGUUGGAUUGGGAACCCUGUGCUCAGGGAGGAGAAGGAGGAGCGUCUCUCAGUGGCAGAGGCCUUGUUCCCCCGGGUCAGCAACAAGAGAGUGGAGUGGACUGUGAUGCUGGUGCUCCCAGUUUUGACAAUCAUAAUCGCUGCUGUUAUCCUCCUGAGAUCUAGAAGAUGCCGAGAAGGAGUAAAUCUUUUCGGAAGGCAUGGUCAGAAGGAAGCUAAACGAUUUGCAGUAGCACCAGGAUGGGAACAAAACCCAAGCCCCAGAGGAUUCCAGAAUGGAACUCAGCACCUGACUGGCAUAACUCAGCAAAGGCCGGGAUAACUUCCUUGGGGAAUAUUCUUUGCCUGCCCCCCCCCCUUUUUUUUAAGGGAGACUCACUAAAGAACCUGAAGAUGUAAUUGUGGAUGAAGACACUGCUCACCCUCAGCUCACCCUGUCAGAGUGUGAGAAGCAUGUGGAAUAUUUGUGAAGAGUGUGAGCUGUUCCUAAAUUCUCUGGAAGAUUUACUUCUCAGCGAGCUGUGCUGGCUUCUUUAGUGGUCAGCAUUACUGGGAGGUGUACGUAAGAGAGAGUUCAUUUUGGACAAUAGGCCUGUGCUUGAUUUCCUUCAACAGGAAAUUGCAUUUUGAAGACAUUCGUCCUGAGAAUGGCUUUUUGGAACAAUACCAGAUAUGAUACUAAGUAUUUAGCAUUUUCUUUACCGCAUUACAAUUUCAGUGUAAUAGCUUCUCCAUUGACAAUGGGAUUUUUUUUUUCAAUAUGAGCAAGGAUUGAUUUCUUUGAAUAUUGAGAAGAAAUUUGGCAUACUCCAUACUAUCACAGGCAACUUCUCUCAAACACUGAGGCCAUAUUUUUUAAUUCAACCUUUAAGAAAAAUUCCUGUUCUUACCAUCCUCCCAGUGACCUCAGAAUCUGACCUCCCUAUUGCACACCCAGAGAGCCUUGCACAAGACUAGUCCCAGUAGACCAGGUGAGCACACAGUGUCCCAGCCAAUAUAAUACUAGGCAGGGCUAGGUGUCUCUGCCAUCAAAGACCCAGGCUGCUUCCCAGCCCUGUGGAAAAUUAUGUAAAACCCUUGUGAUUUGGCCAUUUCCAGUGCUCACUAUGCAGCCCAGCUUCCCUUUAAUACACUUCCCUUUGUUUCCAUAGUCUUUGAGAAGUGCAACUUCUUCCUAUACUUCCUGAUUUGAGCGUGAGAUUCUGAAAAGUGUUGACUGCUUCCCAUGGUAGACCACAGCCACGCAUUUCUCACCGUGCUUUAGAACAGAGUCACAGUGUUUUUCUAUUUCACCUGUGACCUUGGCCUCCCACCUGAUAACGUCAGGUGCUGCUCAUUUGCGUGACCUCCUCUGUGCUAAAAUCAGUGCACUGAGAUCCCUACCUUGUGGGACAGCAACAAACAGUGAAAUUCCAUCUUAUCAACAAGGCUACUUCCAAAGACAUUUACAUAUGAAAAAUAGCAUUGGCAGUCCAGUAGCCCUUUUCAAAUUUCUUAUCCUGUUUAAAUUUUAAAAUAGUUAAUUGACAAAUGACAUUUUUGUAAUAUAUAAACGAUGAUUUGAUGAUGGGAAUUUCUGAGUUCGAGGGUGUCCUCUCUCCUCUGAAGUGAAAGUCUACAUAAAUUGGGAAACCCAGAUAGAAUCUACACCAGUGCUAUUAUGCAUCAAUCAUAUAAAACAAUGGAAGUAUACCUGCCACACAUGUUCCAGCCUGGGGAAAUUACAGAAAAAUCUCAGGAAGGAAAGAGGAAACUGUGUUCUCACACACUGGUGUGGGAAUGACAAACACCAUGAAAAUACUACUGGAAGAUCCUCAUGAAAAUACAGUCAUCCUAUGACCCCAUGUCCACCUCUGGUUUUGUGCUGUAAAGAAAUUUAACAUGAUAGAGAAGCUCGCACACCAACUUCUUUUUUAUUUUGUAAGCCUAGAAAAACUCAACUCUCAUUAAAUGAUUUUUUGAAGCUUUAGAACGUUUAUAUAGUUGAAUAUAAUUUAAAAGUAAAACAAAACAUUGGUAUUGCAGUCAAUAAUGUAAUUAUCACAGCUAUGCUGGGAAAAUAUACUGAAUGGCAAAGACUUCUUCCUGUUUGCUUCCACGUGUCGAGUUCUUGAACAGACAUAAUUACUCUGCAUUUUCAAAACAAUAUACAAUAUUAUUUGUUUUGGGGGUGAAUUGAUUAACUGAAAGAAAUCUGAGGAGAUUUCCAAGAGGAGUGGUAGAAGUGUCUGUUUGUUCACAGUGAAAGAAAUUUUGGAUGUGUGCCUGGGUCACAGCUUAUCUGACUGUAAAAUUAAGACUGAUGACAUCAUGCAUCUUCCCUGAGGAACCUUAACUUCUGUCAUUCAUAUACUGAUGUUGCCAUGUACAGACACCUUCAUGGAGCAAGGGCUGUGACUAAUGUAAUACAGUAGGAAGUGCAUCAAGGUCACAUCCUACAGAUCACAUUGUACAAGGGAGAUGAAUCCUUGGUGAUUUGCAUCACUCCUUCCAUGGGAAGCCAGUGGAAAGGACGCACAUGCUGUCCUGUGGGAAGUGACAUUGACAAGGUCUAAUUCUGUGUGCUCCCUGACAUGAAUUCCUUACUGUGACAUGGAUUGUGCAGCUCUGACAAAGCUGAGAGAACCAGAUUGCAACUUCCGCACUAGCCCCAAAUGGCUGAACCACAUUCCAGAAAUUACAUACUAAUGGGUACCAUUUCUGUUUUGAGCAUCAAAGAUGGGAUUAUUUCUUACAUGUCCUGAAUCACACACUGAACAAUAGCUGUGUAUUUUAUGAUAAAAAGAAUUGUAGAUCUAGUGGAAUAACUCACAAGUAAGGGUAUUUAUCUAGCUCAUAUCCCUGCAUCUCUGAGUCUAAUCCCCAGAUUCAAAGCAAAACAAGGCUCCAUUUAGUAAGUUUGCUCUUUGCAGAACUGAUCACAGCUAUUGAAAUUAUUAUUGUGAAUUUCAAGGUUAAAAAUGAUAGUCACAGUUGUUGAAGUUUGUUAUAAUAUGAAAUAGGGGAUAAAAUUCGUUCUUAUUGUUUGGAAUUAAAUUAAAAACACUAAUUGGAGUCAGAGAGAAGAUGGUGGAUAGAUAACAACAGGCUACAGAGGCUCCCUGAGAUAGUCAACUUAGAAUUCAACAUAAUACAGCAUGGGGAGUCCCAAACAGAGGGAGAUGAAUCCUCUUGUCCCAAGAAGAAACUAAGGUGAGAAGAAGCAAUCAAACAUACAGUCCUGGUGCUACUACUGGAACAGCUAAAGGCUCAGUGCUCUCACUGCAGCACCCGAACUCACCCAGUGGUGACUUACUGAGUCAUCCAAGUUACUGCUGCUUCCAACCACUGGAAACACAGUUACACUGGGGUGGGGGGUCAGCAGAGAGCUGCCAAACAGAGAACUGAGCUGAGCUGAGCUGGCAGGGAGCCUGCAUCAACCUGCAGUGAGUGCCAGGAAUGGAACCAUUCCACAGAAAAAGGGGCUCCAACAGAUGACAUUCUACGACCAGGAAGACUGGUGUGAACAAGGAGCUGCAGUGACUUCUGUCAGCUGCUCCUUUCUCAAGCAGGAUUGGUGGGGAGUGCUUAACUUGGGUCAUGUCCUGGACUGAGACCCAAUAAGCUAGUCCAAACCAGUUCCCUAUGCCUGCUGGCCCAUCCUAAUGCAGUGAAACCCUCAGCAGAUUGACUGAGCUGGAUGGAGGAGGGCCCAGCAUAGGCUUCCCCAGUCUGCACCUCUGUAGUACACUGAAGUGGAUGGGAGCACCAAUUUAGUGCACUUCAGACAAACUGUAACCAACAAAGAAAGAAACUGGGGCCUCCUAUAUACACCUGUAUGGAAGGAACAAAAAAAUAUGAGAAGAGGAAGCAACAAGAAAGGAACCCUAGUCUUCAACCCUGAGAACAUUGAUCUAGGAAAGGUAAAUGCAAAGGAGAUUGAGGACAGCAAACAUUCAAUAUCAGAUAUGGCACCAGUGGACAUAAAGUGGUAUCUUUGGGACCUCGCAGACAAAUUCAAAAAUGAAGUAUUUAACCAAGUAAAGCAAGAUAUGAAUAGAAUAAUUAAAGAAAUGCUAAGCACCUCUCAAAAAAACAGAUGGAAGAACACAAAAAAGAACUAUUGAUGAAGAAAAUAAAGAACACAUAAAAUACAUGAAGGAGGUUCAAAAAGAUUAUCAGGAAAUUAAAAACUCCAUUGAAAGCUGGCAAAGCUGCUUGAAAGAAAAUAAGGGUAGAUUAUCCAAACUGGAGGACAGGUUUGCAAUUUGGGAUCAUGAAAGGAAAAAUUUCUUUAAAAAAAAAUUUGUCUUUUUCAUUUUUAUUGGUACAAGGGAUUGAACUCAUGACCACACACUUGCAAGGCAAGUGCUUAUGCCACUAAACAAAAUCUCCAGCCCCAGGAAAAAUUCCUUAAAGAUAAGAAGGAAACAAGCAGUAAGAGUAAAAGGCUAGAAGAUGACAAGAGGAUCUAUAACUUAAGAAUAAAGAAUGUGAACAAAGAAGCAGGGAUAAAAACAAAGGAACUACAAAGGCUAUUCACAGAAAUAGGUAAGGAAAACUUCCCAAGCAUAGGAAAAGGAAAUGAUAUUCAGAUGUAUGAGGUAUACAGAAAUCCAGCCACCUAUAACCAAAAUAGAACAUAUAAUCAAGAUCUCAGAAAUCUAAUAUAGGAACAGAAUAUUAAAAGCUGUCAGAGACAAGAAAUAUAUUACUUACAAGGGAAAGCCCCUUAGAAUUAUGGCUUACUUCUUGACACAAACCAUCAAAUCGAGAAGAGCAUGGAGCAAAGUAUUCCAAGCCCUGAAAGAAAAUAACCUCCAUCCCAGAUUGAUGUACCCUGCAAAAUUGUCCCUAGAAAUUAAUGGAAAAACAAGAUGCUUUGAAGAUAGAGAGGAACUGGAGGAAUUCACAACCUCCAAUCCAACUCUACAGAGAAUACUACAGAACAUUCUAAAGAGAGAGAAAAACACUAGGAUUUCACGAACAGUAGCAGAGAGGCCCCAAUGAAUGUAGUAAAAAGUGAAAUGAAGAAGCCAAAUAGACAACUAAUGACGGAAAAAGAGCAUAACAGAAAUGAGGCAGAGAAAUUGGAUAUAAUUUCUAUUAUAAAUGGUCUAGAUACACUAAAUUAAGGAAAAAAAGUAAGAGUCUCAGGCGGAGUGGAUCAAGAUGGAGGGCCUACCGAGUUGCUAUUUAUAGGAAAUAUAAUUAAUCUGAAGAAGGGUAUUUGGACCAAAAUCAAAUAUGAGAAAACAGAACUCUAUGUGAUAGGGAACCAGAGAGUAAUAGGGGCAAUUGGACCAGUAUUUAUGUGUAGUUUUCUGUGUAUAUAGGAAUGUGUUUUGUUCUGGCCUGCUUUGUUCUUUUCUCCCUGUAAUAUAAAAAGGAUAGAAAUACAUGUUAUGACUCUUGCUUGCAUAAAACCUAUAUAAACAGUUGAUAAGAACGGACCUUAUGACACAUGAUGAAAUGAACAAAUAUUUUGAAGGGAAAAAAGGCACUACAGUACCCAAUGCUGAUUCUAGAGUGUCAUUAUGUGAAAUCCAGAAAUACUACUAAUCUUUGUUCAGAGUGAUUUUAGCCUGCUUUGGUUUGUUUAAUCUCAACAUAAAUGAAGAUAUGGAUAAAUGUGUGUAUGUUAAGUGUAUAAGAUUGAUAGUCAUACUACUAAGUUUUUAUUAGAUAGUUGAACAGAACGAUUUGCAGUCUCCCUGUUUGAAUUUCCAUUUAUAUGUUCCACUUUUGUAUCUUGAACAAUCAUUCAUCAACUAGUCAUUUAUUAGUUUAUUUUUUCUUUGAAAAUAUGUACUAUUUCUACAUGUUUUCUGUUUUGUCUUUCUUUAAAUAAAAUUUUAAAAAGAGGAAACACUAGUUGACUGAGCUAUAAUAUAGUAAUUGUAGACAUUCUAUGUAUUUAUUUGCACUACACAUAGCAUAAAAGCAAUCAUGAAUAUAAAAGUGUGGGUGAAAAACGCCAAAUUGCACCGGAGAUAACGAAAAGCAUCCCACUGUUUUUAUUGACAAUCACAGUGCACCAUGCAGUCUUCACAAGAGACCUUGAGAAUAGCUAGGGUGACAAGCAAGUGCUGAGUCUCCUUGAUGUCACAGGCUGGGAGUAAAUGGCUUAAACUUUGUGAGGCAGGGAAUUUAGACACCAAACCACUCAGGUUGGAGCAGCCGUCUGCAAGUAGAAUAUGUGACCAUGACACCUGAGCCCCUGGUUGGAUCAAAUUCUGCAACAUAGCGAUCCUAGGGCCUCAGAGAACACAGAACAUGUUCAGAACUAGCUAAGACUACAAAUCAGUGCCUGUGUUUCAUAACUGAUGCUAGACAUCUCUCUUCUCGAGUCCCAGUAAGUAUUACGCUGUACAUCUAGAUGUCUCUUUAGAGCAUCAGGUACUUACAGGUGGUGCUUUGGGAUAGUGACUGGAUUUCAGAGGUUCAUACCUGACUUAAUGUCAGGGCCUGGUCAAAGAGGUGAAUUACUAUUGGCAUGGCCUGCGGGUUUGUCGCGUGCCCAGCACCUCCAUUCUGUUUGCUUCCCUUUUGUAAUGGAAUGGGCACUUGUGCUCCAUCAUUCCCUUCUGUCAAGUUGUGCCCUGGAGAUGUUCAAAGCCUGAAACUCCAACCAAUUGUGAGCAAAAUAAAAUUCUCCUUCUUAAUUUUCCAA
Molecule: RNA transcript, 8021 nt
Organism: Cavia porcellus (domestic guinea pig)
Lineage: Eukaryota; Metazoa; Chordata; Mammalia; Rodentia; Caviidae
Gene name: butyrophilin-like protein 9
Exons: 9
Source: RefSeq, a predicted model, not a curated record